GAGGAAAAGAAACUAACAAGGAUUCCCCUAGUAACGGCGAGUGAAGAGGGAAGAGCCCAAGAUUGAAAGCUGGCGUCUUCGGCGUCCGCAUUGUAAUCUCAAGAAGUGUUUUCCGCUUCGGACCAUGCCUAAGUCCCUUGGAAAAGGGCAUCAUAGAGGGUGAUAAUCCCGUACAUGGCAUGGAGCGCCCGAAGCUUUGUGAUACGCUUUCUAAGAGUCGAGUUGUUUGGGAAUGCAGCUCAAAAUGGGUGGUAAAUGCCAUCUAAGGCUAAAUAUUGGGGAGAGACCGAUAGCGAACAAGUACAGUGAUGGAAAGAUGAAAAGAACUUUGAAAAGAGAGUUAAACAGUACGUGAAAUUGCCAAAAGGGAAGGGUAGGAGGUCAGAGAUGCGGCUUAGGAUUCAGCCUUGCUUUUGCUUGGUGUUUUUCCUAAAUUGCAGGCCAACGUCGGUUUUGGGCGCUGGAGAAGGGUGGAAGGAAUGUGGCACCCCUCGGGGUGUGUUAUAGCCUUCUACUGGAUACAGUGACCGAGACCGAGGACAGCAGCGUACUCGCAAGAGCGGGCCUUCGGGCACCUUUACGCUUAGGGCGUUGGCAUAAUGGCCCUCUACCACCCGUCUG
RNAcentral lists this ribosomal RNA (621 nucleotides) under Ustilago tragana. RNAcentral's name for it is "LSU rRNA". It matches the Rfam family "Eukaryotic large subunit ribosomal RNA", at positions 53 to 655 of the family's 3401-position model. The record is from RNAcentral. Lineage: Eukaryota; Fungi; Basidiomycota; Ustilaginomycetes; Ustilaginales; Ustilaginaceae.